GUCCACGCCAUAAACGAUGAGCACUAGGUGUCGCGGGUAUUGACCCCUGCGGUGCCGCCGCUAACGCAUUAAGUGCUCCGCCUGGGGACUACGGCCGCAAGGUUAAAACUCAAAGGAAUUGACGGGGGCCCGCACAAGCGGUGGAGCAUGUGGUUCAAUUCGACGCAACGCGAAGAACCUUACCUUGGCUAGACAACAUCGGACAGUCCUGGAGACAGGAUCUUCCCUUCGGGGACCGGUGGUUCAGGUGCUGCAUGGCUGUCGU
This 265-nucleotide ribosomal RNA is filed under the name uncultured bacterium. Its description in RNAcentral is "partial 16S ribosomal RNA". It matches the Rfam family "Bacterial small subunit ribosomal RNA", at positions 793 to 1055 of the family's 1533-position model. The record is from RNAcentral.